GAAGCUAAAUCUACAGCAAAUAUUUGCUUUUCUGGUUCUGGCUGUGACAGUAAUUCAGGAAUCCAAUCAAGACAAAUAUGCAUGGAUGGAAUACCAGUAACUGUAAUGGGUAACAGCUCUCUUGGAUAACCCUAUAAGCAAAGAAAUAUGGAAGAAUAUGUAGAGGACAAAGGAGGGAUAAUAGAACUGAUUGAAAGUCGGGAUUUAUUUCAGAGAAAAGAACCUGACUCUAAAUGCGAGAAAAUCAAAGAGUCAUGAGGAACGGUGGUCAGGAAGUUCUUGUUAGAGAAAGGGUUAGGAAGGCGGCGGUGGUAAUAAGGUAAGUGGGCGGAGAGGGGGGAGGGGGAAGAUUUGCCGGAAAAGAACAUAUUCGGAAAAAGCUAGUCGAAAAGGAUAUAAUUGUGUUCUGUAUGGUGUGUGACAUUUGUGUGCAAGCAGAACAUCGUAAUCCCAUAGGAAGAGCAGUGAAGAUUAUUAUUAUUACUCUCUCUCUCUCUCUCUCUCUCUCUCUCUCUCUCUCUCUCUCUCUCUCUGUGUGCGUGCGCGCGCGUGUGUGUGUGUGUGUGUGAUACGUAAAUAAUUAAUAUUCAAUAUUUAAUAUUUUAAUAAGUAAAAAUAAAAAUAAACAAAUUUGGUUGUACAUACUUGAAAAUGAACCAAUUUAGCCAAUGAUGGGUCUGCUAUGAAGACUUGAUGCAAAUAUGAACAGAUUAUACUUUGUAUUUCUCUCAAUGACCACAUCUGUCCGGGUGUUUCUCUAUCUUCUGCUGUCUCCAAACAUGCUUCUAAUAAUAUUUGGACAGCCGCACUUUCUUGUCCUGCCACUAAUGCUGUUCUUAAAUCUUCUCUUUCAGCUUCACUUGAUAACUGACCAAUCUUUUCUAUCAAUGGUUUGUCUUGUAUAUGUCUGGAUAACUGAGAUCGAGAAGCUGCUAAUGCAGCUUGUAGAAUUCUAAAAAUAUUUGUACCAAUGAAGUACCAAUCGAUAAUAAGUAAUUGAACGUUAAAUAUUUUACGGCUUACUCAAUCUCUUUUUUACCUUAAAAUAACGGACAAAAUUGGAGCACAUCUAAAAACUCUCGUAUCACAUCUCAAUACUUGUAAUGGAUCUAACACAAUAUUUUCUUGUGUUAAAAAAACAUUUUUUACGAGAGAAUUUUCUAUUAAUAAAGCAUUUAUUGACAAAACCCAUAA
This is a long non-coding RNA of Bombus terrestris (buff-tailed bumblebee), 1194 nucleotides long. RefSeq lists it as uncharacterized. The transcript has 3 exons. The record is from RefSeq and is a predicted model, not a curated record. NCBI's taxonomy places the organism in Eukaryota, Metazoa, Arthropoda, Insecta, Hymenoptera, Apidae.